Molecule: long non-coding RNA, 172 nt
Organism: Rhipicephalus microplus (southern cattle tick)
Lineage: Eukaryota; Metazoa; Arthropoda; Arachnida; Ixodida; Ixodidae
Source: RefSeq, a predicted model, not a curated record
CGCGGUCUACGUCACCGGACCCGGCUUUAAAUGUACCUCGUCGCACGGCUUCCUUCAAUUCUACUUUUUGCUGGAGUGACCAAAGCCAGCGCAUCUCAAGCAACAACGAACAUUACCGAUGAAACCACGGCGGCAUGCUGCGACAGCGUAUGGUUUUCGCUAAACUACACUG